UAACCAUCGCGUCGUGAAUUGAACACAUUGGCUUGAAGCUGGAUAACGGCAGAAGGCUGAUCAAGUAAGUUUACGGGGCGGAUUUGGAGGCUUGCCGUGAGAACGGCUCCUCUCGAAAUGCAUUAGCUGUCGAAAGACUUGCGCCGCUGGUGUAGUAAUUUACUUCUCGCCUAUGGCAAUAGACUUAAGAAAGCUCAUAAUCGCCUGCAAGGGCAACAACUUAAG
This 225-nucleotide unclassified non-coding RNA is filed under the name uncultured Auriculariales. RNAcentral describes it as "sequence contains ITS2". Lineage: Eukaryota; Fungi; Basidiomycota; Agaricomycetes; Auriculariales. The record is from RNAcentral.